RNAcentral lists this transfer RNA (87 nucleotides) under Candidatus Coatesiibacteriota bacterium. Its description in RNAcentral is "tRNA-Leu". It matches the Rfam family "tRNA". From Rfam's summary of the family: Transfer RNA (tRNA) molecules are approximately 80 nucleotides in length. Their secondary structure includes four short double-helical elements and three loops (D, anti-codon, and T loops). The record is from RNAcentral. Lineage: Bacteria; Candidatus Coatesiibacteriota.
GCCGGGAUGGCGGAACUGGCAGACGCGCAUGGUUGAGGGCCAUGUGGGGGCGACCCUGUAGGAGUUCAAGUCUCCUUCCCGGCACCA